Molecule: non-coding RNA, 143 nt
Filed under: Tolypothrix sp.
Lineage: Bacteria; Bacillati; Cyanobacteriota; Cyanophyceae; Nostocales; Tolypothrichaceae
Source: RNAcentral
UUCCUCCAGUAUCAAUUCGGUUCUAAUGGGGAGCAGCCAUCAGAGGUAACGGGGAAAGACUGGUGUAAAUCCAGCACUGUCCCGCAGCUGUAAUGAAGUUCUUGCUUCAAAGUCAGAAUGCCCGCCGAAAUUACCACCAACUC